GACGAACGCUGGCGGCGUGCUUAACACAUGCAAGUCGAACGGAAAGGCCCUGCUUUUGUGGGGUGCUCGAGUGGCGAACGGGUGUGUAACACGUGAGUAACCUGCCCCUGUCUUUGGGAUAACUUCAGGAAACUGGGGCUCAUACCGGAUAGGAGCUCCUGCUGCAUGGUGGGGGUUGGAAAGAUUCGGCGGUUGGGGCUGGUCUCGCGGCUUAUCAGCUUGAUGGUGUGGUAGUGGCUGACCAAGGCUUUGACGGGUAGGCGGCCUGGGAGGGGUGACGGCGACAUUGGGACUGAGGGACGGACCAGACUGCUACGGGAGGCAGUAGUGGGAAAUAUUGCAGAGUGAGGGGAAGCCUGAGGCAGCAACGCCGCGUGCGGGAUGCCGGGCUUCGGGGUGUAAACCGCUUUCGCCUGUGACGAAGCGUGAGUGACGGUAAUGGGUAAAAAAGCACCGGCUAACUACGUG
This 468-nucleotide ribosomal RNA is filed under the name uncultured bacterium. Its description in RNAcentral is "partial 16S ribosomal RNA". It matches the Rfam family "Bacterial small subunit ribosomal RNA", at positions 28 to 507 of the family's 1533-position model. The record is from RNAcentral.